GAGUUUGAUCUUGGCUCAGGAUGAACGCUAGCGGCAGGCCUAACACAUGCAAGUCGAGGGGUAUAGGUUUUCGGACCUAGAGACCGGCGCACGGGUGCGUAACGCGUAUGCAAUCUACCUUUUACAGAGGGAUAGCCCAGAGAAAUUUGGAUUAAUACCUCAUAGUAUAAUGAUUCGGCAUCGAGACAUUAUUAAAGUUCCAACGGUAAAAGAUGAGCAUGCGUCCCAUUAGCUAGAUGGUAAGGUAACGGCUUACCAUGGCGACGAUGGGUAGGGGUCCUGAGAGGGAGAUCCCCCACACUGGUACUGAGACACGGACCAGACUCCUACGGGAGGCAGCAGUGAGGAAUAUUGGUCAAUGGGCGCAAGCCUGAACCAGCCAUGCCGCGUGCAGGAUGACGGUCCUAUGGAUUGUAAACUGCUUUUGUACAGGAAGAAACAGUUCUACGUGUAGAACCUUGACGGUACUGUAAGAAUAAGGAUCGGCUAACUCCGUGCCAGCAGCCGCAGUAA
This 513-nucleotide ribosomal RNA is filed under the name uncultured Flavobacterium sp. RNAcentral describes it as "bacterial SSU rRNA". It matches the Rfam family "Bacterial small subunit ribosomal RNA", at positions 9 to 523 of the family's 1533-position model. The record is from RNAcentral. Lineage: Bacteria; Pseudomonadati; Bacteroidota; Flavobacteriia; Flavobacteriales; Flavobacteriaceae.